GCUAUUGAAAGAUUAUUUCUCAAUUUGACACUCAUGAAUGUUGAUGAUAGAAUAUGAAGGAUUCUUCAAUAUAAAGUAUACCUUGAAUUGGUAGGGCUUAUGCAUCAUUUUCUUGUAUAAAUGAUUAUAUGGUUGAUUGUUGAAUCCUCGGAUCGGUAGGCUAGUGGCACCCUUCCACACGAGCUUAUAAUGAACCUUGGAAUCGGUAGGCCUAUGGCACCUUUCCAUGAAGGUUAAUGAUGAGACUUGAACCGGUAGGCCCAUGGCACCCUUUCAAGAGGAGUUAAUGAGCUUUCCUAAAUGAACCUUGAAACGGUAGGCUUAAAGCACCCUUUCAUGUGUUAAUGAAUGUAUUUUGGAGUUGGUAGGUCAAUGGCACCUCUCAUAUGUGAUAAUGUCAAGAUAACGAACUAUUCUAUGGGAAUGUUGGCUAAGCACCGAGUGGAUUUGGUUAGAUGGAAACUCCCCCAAUAGUUAGGCAUGAGUUUCAAUGAUCGUCUACCUUAUCCCAUAAACUAUGUGCCCGCAUAGGUAGCUAGUGGAUCCAUUAAGCUAUAUAUACCGGUCUUCCUUAGGCAAGUAGACCACCUCUUUACGGUGUGGGGACUUAUGACACCGGAUUCCAUGACAAGCUCUCAUGGUCUAUGUCGGUUAAACGCUUACUUCCCAUCAUGCGAGAUUUCAUUAUGGUUUCUUGAUAGGUUCUACAAAGUGUAGGUAGUAGUAUGGGAUGCUACCUAUACAUUGCACGAGUAGGCUUGGAGAGGGUCAUAGUGAGUUUCUCUAAAUCCUAAUGUAUGUGAUACAAUUGUGGCCUAAAUGAGGUUAUUAAAGAAUGUUGGCUCUCAAAUGCUUAAUAUGAG
This 863-nucleotide long non-coding RNA is filed under the name Solanum tuberosum (potato). RNAcentral's name for it is "long non-coding RNA (STUB_LNC003681)". Lineage: Eukaryota; Viridiplantae; Streptophyta; Magnoliopsida; Solanales; Solanaceae. The record is from RNAcentral.